Chiroxiphia lanceolata (lance-tailed manakin) is the source of this 1204-nucleotide long non-coding RNA. RefSeq lists it as uncharacterized. The record is from RefSeq and is a predicted model, not a curated record. NCBI's taxonomy places the organism in Eukaryota, Metazoa, Chordata, Aves, Passeriformes, Pipridae. The transcript is spliced from 3 exons.
AGGUUAAGGGAAUCCUCAGGGGUGUGUAGGUCAAGGGAAUCUUCAGGGGUGUGUAGGUUAAGGGAAUCCUCAGGGGUGUGUAGGUUAAAGGAAUCCUCAGGGGUGUGUAGGUUAAAGGAAUCCUCAGGAGUCUGUAGGUUAAAGGGAUCCUCAGGGGUGUGUAGGUUAAAGGGAUCCUCAGGGGUGUGUAGGUUAAGGGAAUCCUCAGGGGUGUGUAGCUUAAGGGAAUCCUCAGGGGUGUGUAGGUUAAAGGGAAUCCUCAGGGGUGUGUAGGUUAAGGGAACCUUCAGGGGUGUGUAGGUUAAAGGGAUCCUCAGGGGUGUGUAGGUUAAAGGGAUCCUCAGGGGUGUGUAGGUUAAGGGAAUCCUCAGGGGUGUGUAGGUUAAAGGGAAUCCUCAGGGGUGUGUAGGUUAAAGGGAAUCCUCAGGGGUGUGUAGGUUAAAGGGAAUCCUCAGGGGUGUGUAGGUUAAGGGAAUCCUCAGGGGUGUGUAGGUUAAGGGAAUCCUCGGGGGUGUGUAGGUUAAGGGAAUCCUCAGGGGUGUGUAGGUUAAAGGGAAUCCUCAGGGGUGUGUAGGUUAAAGGGAAUCCUCAGGGGUGUGUAGCUCUCUUGCUUCCAGUGGGGAAGUGAGGGAAAAGCUUUCUCCUCCUCUACACCAUUAAGAAGCCAGUAAUGAAGACACUUGUGGAAGCAGCUGAUUAAACUUGUAUCUGAAAUCGGAUGCAGCCAGGAAGAUUGAACUUGCUUUGUUUAAUUGUGCCUGCAAACCCUGACCUGAGUUGAUACAACUUGAGGUGAAGCUGGAUUUCCAUUGAGUCCAAAGAGCACUGAGCACAGUGUAGUGGUUUCAUUAAGUCUGGAUUAUUACUGUAAUCGUGCCAAAAAUUUUGGCUUGGAUGAAAUCAUUCAGCAAAAUAACUUCUUAGUGAUGAGUUCUAGAACACAGUAGAGAAAAUAAAGACUAGCAACUCAAGUGGCUGCUGAUCCGAAGGGAUUAAAUGUUCUCUAAGCUUUCAAACUACUUUCUGGUCUUAUUGCUUAAAAAUGAAACUUUUUUUCUGUGCUGAGGUGAGGCUUUGGAAGGCUGAAGCCCCAAGGUGGCUUUGCAUUAGCUGGCAAGAAUUUUUUUAAGGAUCCCAAAAUUCCCCUCUGCGUGGUGUCGACAAGCUCCCAGGUAUGGAAGAACAUAACUAGUUUGGAUUUUUU